This 845-nucleotide ribosomal RNA is filed under the name Dietzia sp. RNAcentral describes it as "bacterial SSU rRNA". It matches the Rfam family "Bacterial small subunit ribosomal RNA", at positions 80 to 941 of the family's 1533-position model. The record is from RNAcentral. Lineage: Bacteria; Bacillati; Actinomycetota; Actinomycetes; Mycobacteriales; Dietziaceae.
AACGGGGGUACACGAGUGGCGAACGGGUGAGUAACACGUGGGUAAUCUGCCCUGCACUUCGGGAUAAGCCUGGGAAACUGGGUCUAAUACCGGAUAUGAACUCCUGCCGCAUGGUGGGGGUUGGAAAGUUUUUCGGUGCAGGAUGAGCCCGCGGCCUAUCAGCUUGUUGGUGGGGUAAUGGCCUACCAAGGCGACGACGGGUAGCCGGCCUGAGAGGGUGAUCGGCCACACUGGGACUGAGACACGGCCCAGACUCCUACGGGAGGCAGCAGUGGGGAAUAUUGCACAAUGGGCGAAAGCCUGAUGCAGCGACGCCGCGUGGGGGAUGACGGUCUUCGGAUUGUAAACCCCUUUCAGUAGGGACGAAGCGCAAGUGACGGUACCUGCAGAAGAAGCACCGGCUAACUACGUGCCAGCAGCCGCGGUAAUACGUAGGGUGCGAGCGUUGUCCGGAAUUACUGGGCGUAAAGAGCUCGUAGGCGGUUUGUCACGUCGUCUGUGAAAUCCCUCGGCUUAACCGGGGGCGUGCAGGCGAUACGGGCAGACUUGAGUACUACAGGGGAGACUGGAAUUCCUGGUGUAGCGGUGAAAUGCGCAGAUAUCAGGAGGAACACCGGUGGCGAAGGCGGGUCUCUGGGUAGUAACUGACGCUGAGGAGCGAAAGCAUGGGUAGCGAACAGGAUUAGAUACCCUGGUAGUCCAUGCCGUAAACGGUGGGCGCUAGGUGUGGGGUCCUUCCACGGACUCCGUGCCGUAGCUAACGCAUUAAGCGCCCCGCCUGGGGAGUACGGCCGCAAGGCUAAAACUCAAAGGAAUUGACGGGGGCCCGACAAGCGGCGAACAUG